GUGUCAGCAGCCGCGGUAAGACGAACCGUGCGAACGUUGUUCGGAAUCACUGGGCUUAAAGGGCGCGUAGGCGGGCCUCCGAGUCCGGGGUGAAAUCUUUCGGCUUAACCGGAAAAGUGCCUUGGAUACUGGGGGCCUUGAGGGAGGCAGGGGCGGAUGGAACUUCCGGUGGAGCGGUGAAAUGCGUUGAUAUCGGAAGGAACGCCGGUGGCGAAAGCGAUCCGCUGGACCUCUUCUGACGCUGAGGCGCGAAAGCCAGGGGAGCAAACGGGAUUAGAAACCCCCGUAGUCC
Molecule: ribosomal RNA, 292 nt
Filed under: uncultured bacterium
Lineage: Bacteria
Description: partial 16S ribosomal RNA
Rfam family: Bacterial small subunit ribosomal RNA
Source: RNAcentral